GGCGAAUUUCGCCCUUGGAUUCCAGACUUKGAUCAUAGAGCUCGGGAUGAACGCUAGCUACAGGGCUUAACACAAUUGCAAGUCGAAGGGGAAACGACAUCGAAAGCUUGCUUUUGAUGGGCGGUCGACCGGCGCACGGGUGAGUAACGCGUAUCCAACCUGCCCAUCACUUGGGGAUAACCUUGCGAAAGUAAGACUAAUACCCAAUGACGUCUCUAGAAGACAUCUGAAAGAGAUUAAAGAUUUAUCGGUGAUGGAUGGGGAUGCGUCUGAUUAGCUUGUUGGCGGGGUAAACGGCCCACCAAGGCAACGAUCAGUAGGGGUUCUGAGAGGAAGGUCCCCCACAUUGGAACUGAGACACGGUCCAAACUCCUACGGGAGGCAGCAGUGAGGAAUAUUGGUCAAUGGGCGAGAGCCUGAACCAGCCAAGUAGCGUGCAGGAUGACGGCCCUAUGGGUUGUAAACUGCUUUUAUAAGGGAAUAAAGUGAGUCUCGUGAGACUUUUUGCAUGUACCUUAUGAAUAAGGACCGGCUAAUUCCGUGCCAGCAGCCGCGGUAAUACGGAAGGUCCGGGCGUUAUCCGGAUUUAUUGGGUUUAAAGGGAGCGUAGGCCGGAGAUUAAGCGUGUUGUGAAAUGUAGACGCUCAACGUCUGCACUGCAGCGCGAACUAGUUUCCUUGAGUACGCACAAAGUGGGCGGAAUUCGUGGUGUAGCGGUGAAAUGCUUAGAUAUCACGAAGAACUCCGAUUGCGAAGGCAGCUCACUGGGAGCGCAACUGACGCUGAAGCUCGAAAGUGCGGGUAUCGAACAGGAUUAGAUACCCUGGUAGUCCGCACGGUAAACGAUGGAUGCCCGCUGUUGGUCUGAAUAGGUCAGCGGCCAAGCGAAAGCAUUAAGCAUCCCACCUGGGGAGUACGCCGGCAACGGUGAUUCUCAAAGGAAUUGACGG
RNAcentral lists this ribosomal RNA (950 nucleotides) under uncultured bacterium. RNAcentral describes it as "bacterial SSU rRNA". It matches the Rfam family "Bacterial small subunit ribosomal RNA", at positions 1 to 916 of the family's 1533-position model. The record is from RNAcentral.